Molecule: ribosomal RNA, 468 nt
Filed under: uncultured bacterium
Lineage: Bacteria
Description: partial 16S ribosomal RNA
Rfam family: Bacterial small subunit ribosomal RNA
Source: RNAcentral
GACGAACGCUGGCGGCGUGCUUAACACAUGCAAGUCGAACGGAAAGGCCCUGCUUUUGUGGGGUGCUCGAGUGGCGAACGGGUGAGUAACACGUGAGUAACCUGCCCUUGACUUUGGGAUAACUUCAGGAAACUGGGGCUAAUACCGGAUAGGAGCUCCUGCUGCAUGGUGGGGGUUGGAAAGUUUCGGCGGUUGGGGAUGGACUCGCGGCUUAUCAGCUUGUUGGUGGGGUAGUGGCUUACCAAGGCUUUGACGGGUAGCCGGCCUGAGAGGGUGACCGGCCACAUUGGGACUGGGAUGAGGCCCAGACCCCUCCGGGAGGCAGCAGGGGGGAAUAUUGCACAAUGGGCGGAAGGCUGAUGGAGCAACGCCGCGUGCGGGAUGACGGCCUUCGGGUUGUAAACCGCUUUCGCCUGGGGCGAAGCGUGAGUGACGGUAAUGGGUAAAGAAGCAACGGCUAACUACGUG